AACGCGAAGAACCUUACCUGGGCUUGAACCGCUACUGACCAACGGUAGAAAUAUCGUCUUCCCGCAAGGGACAGUAGUAGAGGUGCUGCAUGGCUGUCGUCAGCUCGUGCCGUGAGGUGUUGGGUUAAGUCCCGCAACGAGCGCAACCCUUAUUCGUAGUUGCCACCCGCAAGGGGGAACUCUACGAGGACUGCUCCGGAUAACGGAGAGGAAGGUGGGGAUGACGUCAAGUCAGCACGGCCUUUAUGUCCAGGGCUACACACGUGUUACAAUGCGCGGCACAGACUGUUGCGAACCCGCGAGGGGGAGCUAAUCGGAAAAACCGCGCUCAGUUCGGAUUGCAGUCUGCAACUCGACUGCAUGAAGCUGGAAUCGCUAGUAAUGGCGUAUCAGAUCGACGCCGUGAAUACGUUCCCGGGCCUUGUA
This 426-nucleotide ribosomal RNA is filed under the name uncultured Acidobacteriota bacterium. RNAcentral's name for it is "bacterial SSU rRNA". It matches the Rfam family "Bacterial small subunit ribosomal RNA", at positions 958 to 1385 of the family's 1533-position model. Lineage: Bacteria; Pseudomonadati; Acidobacteriota. The record is from RNAcentral.